AUUGAACGCUGGCGGCAUGCCUUACACAUGCAAGUCGAACGGCAGCGGGGGAGAAGCUUGCUUUUCCUGCCGGCGAGUGGCGAACGGGUGAGUAAUACAUCGGAACGUGCCCUGUAGUGGGGGAUAACUAGUCGAAAGAUUAGCUAAUACCGCAUACGACCUGAGGGUGAAAGUGGGGGACCGCAAGGCCUCAUGCUAUAGGAGCGGCCGAUGUCUGAUUAGCUAGUUGGGGGGGUAAAGGCCUACCAAGGCGACGAUCAGUAGCUGGUCUGAGAGGACGAUCAGCCACACUGGGACUGAGACACGGCCCAGACUCCUACGGGAGGCAGCAGUGGGGAAUUUUGGACAAUGGGCGAAAGCCUGAUCCAGCAAUGCCGCGUGUGUGAAGAAGGCCUUCGGGUUGUAAAGCGCUUUUGUCCGGAAAGAAAUGGCUCUGGUUAAUACCUGGGGUCGAUGACGGUACCGGAAGAAUAAGGACCGGCUAACUACGUGCCAGCAGCCGCCGCCG
Molecule: ribosomal RNA, 508 nt
Filed under: uncultured bacterium
Lineage: Bacteria
Description: partial 16S ribosomal RNA
Rfam family: Bacterial small subunit ribosomal RNA
Source: RNAcentral